RNAcentral lists this ribosomal RNA (1146 nucleotides) under Triticum aestivum (bread wheat). Its description in RNAcentral is "partial small subunit ribosomal RNA". The record is from RNAcentral. Lineage: Eukaryota; Viridiplantae; Streptophyta; Magnoliopsida; Poales; Poaceae.
AUGGCGUUCCUCUCCGAUGCCCAAUCUGAGACUAAUGGCGGCCGUGGUGCUGCUGCAAGAUCGAAUCUUCAUGAGUUCUUUGAUCAGCUUGACCUAAACGAAGAGGAGUUUCAUGACGUUCAGAUUGAUGAAGAUGACCCGGUGAUCAAUGGAAGCGUUCGCUGGCUAGCCCUGGCGAGAGUUCAUACGGAGAAAUCCUUCAGCCAGAGUGUGUUCUACAAGGACAUGAGGGCAGCCUGGAAUCCCGCUCAGCAGGUUCGCUUCAAGCUGGUAGGUUCCAAUCGAUUUGUGGUUCAGGCAUCGUGCCUGGGAGAUUGGGAGCGUAUUCUGCAUCAAGGCCCAUGGUUGUUUCGUAAUAUGGCAGUGUUGUUGUGCCCCUACGAUGGGUUUACUAGGGUUGAGGAUAUUGCAAAUAACCUUAUGCCAAUUUGGCUGCAGAUCCACAAGUUGCCUGAUGGCUUCAACAAACCGGGAAUAGUUGAGAAAUUGCUUAAGGGUGCUGGGAUGAUCCUUGAUAUGCGCCUUAAUGGUAAUACCCGUGGAGAUAAUGUCAGGGUCAUGGUUCAGCAUGACAUCAAUAAACCUCUUACAAGGUUUGUUAGCAUUGUUCGGGCCAAAGAAAGAGUGAUCUUCAUGGUCCGCUAUGAAAAACUUGCAAAGUUCUGUAAGGUAUGCGGACUCAUUGGCCAUGCUCUUAGGGAGUGUGGCACGGGGAUACAUGAUGAGAAGAGCCACAAGUAUGGUGACUGGUUGUAUGCAGAACCUUUGAAACGUCUGGAAGGGGAACUGGAGCAACAACCCGUUAAAAAUUCCCAGGCCAGUCCUCCGAAAGCCAAAGAUAAGGAGGCUGCUAUUCAGGAUCCGGAGCUGACUGGUACAGCGACAAGCCCGGUUAAGUGUGGUACAGUUUUGAUGGAAUGUGACAAAGGUGUCCGCAAGAGGCUCUUGCUGGUGGGAGAGGAGAAAACUGAUGAUCAAACCCCACUCCCAGCGACAACUUCCAUGUUGGCUAUUACAGAUGGUAGUGGGAAGGAUACGGAGCAAGGUUUUCCGACUAGCAGCACUAACAGUAAACGUGCAAAGGUUGAUGAUGUGUCACAAAAUGAGAUAUCAGCGGCCUCCCUGGAGGAGGACCGCCGGACGUAA